This 399-nucleotide ribosomal RNA is filed under the name uncultured bacterium. Its description in RNAcentral is "bacterial SSU rRNA". It matches the Rfam family "Bacterial small subunit ribosomal RNA", at positions 30 to 431 of the family's 1533-position model. The record is from RNAcentral.
AUUGAACGCUGGCGGCAUGCCUUACACAUGCAAGUCGAACGGCAGCACGGGAGCAAUCCUGGUGGCGAGUGGCGAACGGGUGAGUAAUAUAUCGGAACGUGCCCAGUCGUGGGGAUAACGUAGCGAAAGCUACGCUAAUACCGCAUACGAUCUAUGGAUGAAAGCGGGGGAUCGCAAGACCUCGCGCGAUUGGAGCGGCCGAUAUCAGAUUAGGUAGUUGGUGAGGUAAAGGCUCACCAAGCCGACGAUCUGUAGCUGGUCUGAGAGGACGACCAGCCACACUGGGACUGAGACACGGCCCAGACUCCUACGGGAGGCAGCAGUGGGGAAUUUUUGGACAAUGGGCGCAAGCCUGAUCCAGCAAUGCCGCGUGCAGGAUGAAGGCCUUCGGUUGUAACU